Molecule: ribosomal RNA, 443 nt
Filed under: uncultured Sphingomonadaceae bacterium
Lineage: Bacteria; Pseudomonadati; Pseudomonadota; Alphaproteobacteria; Sphingomonadales; Sphingomonadaceae
Description: bacterial SSU rRNA
Rfam family: Bacterial small subunit ribosomal RNA
Source: RNAcentral
GACCUACGGGAGGCAGCAGUGGGGAAUAUUGGACAAUGGGCGAAAGCCUGAUCCAGCAAUGCCGCGUGAGUGAUGAAGGCCUUAGGGUUGUAAAGCUCUUUUACCAGGGAUGAUAAUGACAGUACCUGGAGAAUAAGCUCCGGCUAACUCCGUGCCAGCAGCCGCGGUAAUACGGAGGGAGCUAGCGUUGUUCGGAAUUACUGGGCGUAAAGCGCACGUAGGCGGCUACUCAAGUCAGAGGUGAAAGCCCGGGGCUCAACCCCGGAACUGCCUUUGAAACUAGGUAGCUAGAAUCUUGGAGAGGUCAGUGGAAUUCCGAGUGUAGAGGUGAAAUUCGUAGAUAUUCGGAAGAACACCAGUGGCGAAGGCGACUGACUGGACAAGUAUUGACGCUGAGGUGCGAAAGCGUGGGGAGCAAACAUGAUUAGAUACCCUAGUAGUCU